This 508-nucleotide ribosomal RNA is filed under the name uncultured eukaryote. RNAcentral describes it as "SSU rRNA". It matches the Rfam family "Eukaryotic small subunit ribosomal RNA", at positions 619 to 1140 of the family's 1831-position model. The record is from RNAcentral.
UUAAAAAGCUCGUAGUUGGAUUUCUGUGAGAGUAUGAUGUCCUAACGUGUUUAGUGCGCAGAAAACUCUUGCAUCCUUCUGUUACCUCCACAUGGCAUUCACUUGCCAGUGGUUGGCUCAGAGAAUUUACCUUGAGAAAAUUAGAGUGUUUCAGGCAGGCUAGGCCGGAAUACAUUAGCAUGGAAUAAUAGAAUAGGACUCCGGUCUCGUUGUUGGUUUGAGGGACUAUAGUAAUGAUUAAUAGGGAUAGUUGGGGGCAUUAGUAUUCGAUUGUCAGAGGUGAAAUUCUCAGAUUUAUUGAAGACUAACUUAUGCGAAAGCAUUUGCCAAGGAUGUUUUCAUUAAUCAAGAACGAAAGUUAGGGGAUCAAAGACGAUCAGAUACCGUCCUAGUCUUAACCAUAAACCUAUGCCGACUCGGGAUCGGGGGCGUGUUUUUAUCCGCCUUCGGCACCGUAUGANAAAUCAAAGUCUUUGGGUUCUGGGGGGAGUAUGGUCCCAAGGGUUGA